GUGAGGAAUUUUGCGCAAUGGGGGCAACCCUGACGCAGCGACGCCGCGUGGAGGACGAAGUCUUUCGGGAUGUAAACUCCUGUCAGUGGGGACGAUAAUGACGGUACCCACAGAGGAAGCACCGGCUAACUCCGUGCCAGCAGCCGCGGUAAGACGGAGGGUGCAAGCGUUGUUCGGAAUUACUGGGCGUAAAGCGUAUGUAGGCGGCAAGUUAAGUUCAAUGUUAAAGCCCACGGCUCAACCGAGGAGAUGCAUUGAAUACUGGCUAGCUAGAGGGUGUUAGAGGAAGACGGAAUUCCCAGUGUAGCGGUGAAAUGCGUAGAUAUUGGGAGGAACAUCGGUAGCGAAAGCGGUCUUCUGGGACAUACCUGACGCUGAGGUACGAAAGCGUGGGGAGCAAACGGGAUUAGAUACCCGGGUAGUCC
Molecule: ribosomal RNA, 425 nt
Filed under: uncultured bacterium
Lineage: Bacteria
Description: bacterial SSU rRNA
Rfam family: Bacterial small subunit ribosomal RNA
Source: RNAcentral